CCCGCUACAGAAACUUAAAGGAAUUGACGGGGCCGCACAAGCGGAGGAGCAUGUGGUUUAAUUCGAUGAUACGCGAGGAACUUACCUGGGCUCGAACGUAAGAUGACUGUAGGUGAAAGCUUACAUCUCUUCGGAGCAUUUUACGAGGUGCUGCAUGGUUGUCGUCAGCUCGUGCCGUGAGGUGUCGGGUUAAGUCCCAUAACGAGCGCAACCCCUACCUUUAGUUGCCAUCAGGUUAAGCUGGGGACUCUAAAGGAACUGCCUACGCAAGUAGUGAGGAAGGCGGGGAUGACGUCAAAUCAGCACGGCCCUUACGUCCAGGGCUACACACGUGCUACAAUGGCCGAUACAGAGGGCAGCUACCUGGUGACAGGAUGCAAAUCUCCAAAGUCGGUCUCAGUUCGGAUCGGAGUCUGCAACCCGACUCCGUGAAGUUGGAUUCGCUAGUAAUCGCGCAUCAGCCAUGGCGCGGUGAAUACGUUCCCGGGCCUU
Molecule: ribosomal RNA, 492 nt
Filed under: uncultured Sphingobacteriales bacterium
Lineage: Bacteria; Pseudomonadati; Bacteroidota; Sphingobacteriia; Sphingobacteriales
Description: bacterial SSU rRNA
Rfam family: Bacterial small subunit ribosomal RNA
Source: RNAcentral